Molecule: unclassified non-coding RNA, 191 nt
Filed under: uncultured fungus
Lineage: Eukaryota; Fungi
Description: partial contains 18S rRNA, ITS1, 5.8S rRNA
Source: RNAcentral
GCGGAGGGAUCAUUACAAGUUGACCCCGGCCCUCGGGCCGGGAUGUUCACAACCCUUUGUUGUCCGACUCUGUUGCCUCCGGGGCGACCCUGCCUCCGGGCGGGGGCCCCGGGUGGACAUUUCAAACUCUUGCGUAACUUUGCAGUCUGAGUAAAUUUAAUUAAUAAGAUCUGGCCUCGAGAUCCCGGGUA